AUAACACUUGCACCAAAGAAUUAUGUAAGGAUAUGGAAUUAUGUACAACUAUGACACAUCAACAGACCCUUCCAGUUAAGUUAAAUUCUUAUCCUUUUGUAUCAGAUUUUAUUCCAUAUACAUACAUUUACAUAUUCAAAAGUAUUAAACACACAAUGAUAUAAGCAUAAAAAUCUUUGCAGAUUGAGAAUAAGGAUUAUGAAAUGAAAUGGUUGACCAUUAAACAUUUGAUCAAACAGAGACGACUUACUUGUAUUGUGCCUGCUUGAACCGCCAAGUCUUUUGUACGGAAGCAUUUUCUUAACAUUAGACCAAUUGUUGUGGUGUAGAGCAUUAAGUAUGGUAUACAUGCAUCCUGGAUGGCCACCCUCCAAAUGAAUUUUAGGGUUUUGGCGUCCUAUAUUCUUUCCCAUAUGAUACAGGUAUCUUCCAAGUGCUUCAGUGACAAUUCAUUUGAGUUGAAGGCCUCUAAGUUCCCAAAACUGAUCCAUACCACAGUACCAAUAGCAAAAUUUAAGUACAAGCGUAUGAGGGAACAUACCAAAAGCAAUAUAGUGUUUUCUCUUUCUUUUUGUUUGUGCAUAAGCAUCUGCAGUGACUAGCAUAUGUUCGCGACAACCUGAAAGGCUGAAACUACUGUACUCUAUUUUUUUACUCAGGAAAAGAAAAACAAAUGGCACCCUCUGCUUGAGGUAGACGGUGAUUAAAAUACAAGGAAAAUGUCAGAAUUAAUAAUAAUGAAAUUUUAGACAGAUUAAAAUACAACAUCAUAUCCAUUACAUAAACAACCUAAGAUUCAUAAUGAACAAAAAAAUGCACAAAAUUUUCCUCACCUUGACGAAAAAUUCUGGCUCUGCCAAGAAAAAGAUACCCCUUCAAGAUCAUAUUCCUACAAGAUUUUAUUGGUGAAAAUGAAAUCUAUGCUUAUAAAUAUUCAAAAAACACAUUUUACACAUUAUGUAGAAGCCUUGGACGAGGGGAUGAUUUUUAGUUAACUAAGACCAACUCAAUCAUAUUAUGACUUUGCCGAGGUGAUAUUUAUAUUAAAUGCAUCACUAGAACAUUAACAACAAUGUGAUAAAGGAGAACAUAUACCAGUUUCCUGAAUCAUGAAUGUUAUAUAAACACAAACCAAAAGUGUUUCCCAAUCCACUAUUAGAUGAAAAUCAAUCCAUAUAUAUAUGCAGAUGGUAUCAUGGUAAUCAUACAUAUAAUAUUUAUUAUAAUCCUUCCAUUCCAAAAUAUAAAAUCAACUCAUUUGAAACAUUUUCAAAAUCAAAAUUGACAUGAAUCAUUAAAUAAAUAUAGUAAAUUAUUUAAAAAGUGCUAAUAACUACAAUAUUUAUUGUUUUCAAAAUGUCAAUGAAUCACAUCUUAAAUUUAAAUAAAAAAAAAAAUAAUACAAAAAUCGACCGAGGAAGUAUAAAACAGUGCAAUGCAUUUAUGCGCAUACAAGUUUCUAGGGUUAAAUAUUUAUAUACCUCCAUGAGCAGAUCCAAAAACCAACUCGUAAUCUGUAUGAUGCUUCACAACAACGACAGAGGUUAAGAAACAAUGAGAUAAAAGGGCGAUCAUUACAGAUCUAUAUGAUGAUGAUCUUUUAUAAUGAUUAGAAAUAUCAAAACAAUUUCUCUGACCUUUUCUUUUUCGUUUUCUUUUUUUGGUGGCGAUUGGUUCCUCCUGCAGCUGCUAAUUUCAUCUCUUUUGGCGCCAUGCCAUAAAUCCGCCAACCGCUCUCCUCCGUAACUU
RNAcentral lists this long non-coding RNA (1749 nucleotides) under Panax ginseng (ginseng). RNAcentral's name for it is "long non-coding RNA (PGIN_LNC013644)". Lineage: Eukaryota; Viridiplantae; Streptophyta; Magnoliopsida; Apiales; Araliaceae. The record is from RNAcentral.